RNAcentral lists this ribosomal RNA (331 nucleotides) under uncultured bacterium. Its description in RNAcentral is "bacterial SSU rRNA". It matches the Rfam family "Bacterial small subunit ribosomal RNA", at positions 568 to 898 of the family's 1533-position model. The record is from RNAcentral.
CGCGCAGGCGGUUAGACAAGUGUGAUGUGAAAGCCCUGGGCUUAACCUGGGAAUGGCAUCAUAAACUGUCUGGCUGGAGUACUGUAGAGGAUAGUGGAAUUUCCGGUGUAGCGGUGAAAUGCGUAGAGAUCGGAAGGAACACCAGUGGCGAAGGCGACUGUCUGGACAGAUACUGACGCUGAGGCGCGAAAGCGUGGGGAGCAAACAGGAUUAGAUACCCUGGUAGUCCGCGCUGUAAACGAUGAGAACUGGAUGUUGGCGGGCAAUGCCCGUUAGUAUCGGAGCUAACGCGAUAAGUUCUCCGCCUGGGGAGUACGGCCGCAAGGUUAAA